This is a long non-coding RNA of Triticum dicoccoides, 403 nucleotides long. RefSeq lists it as uncharacterized. The transcript has 2 exons. NCBI's taxonomy places the organism in Eukaryota, Viridiplantae, Streptophyta, Magnoliopsida, Poales, Poaceae. The record is from RefSeq and is a predicted model, not a curated record.
UCAGAAGUAAGAAAUUUGUGUCUUCUCAUAUGGAAGGGAAAGCUAUUCUUCUUUGCCUUAUGGUGCUUGUGCACCUAGGAAAUUCCAUUCAUAUUGAUAAAUGCAAGGAUCUAGUUCACCCACAAAGAAAAACAUGCAAGGAUCGACUUGCUACUAUUGGCCGUCAGUGCAAUCUGUCAGAAUGCCAGGUGACCUGCAAAAAAUUGUUUGGACCGCAACUCAUAGCCUCAUGGUGUCUCAACGCCGUCCCAUACUAUUGGCAUUGUUGGUGCCGUGUCUGUUGGUAGAGUUGCACUGCAAAAUCAUGUCGAAAAAUGGACAAAUGAUGUGAUCCAAUAAUAAAAUCUUCUUGUGACAUGCAUCUAAGAAUACAUAAAGAUUGCCAAAUUUAGGUGCUCUAUUC